RNAcentral lists this long non-coding RNA (620 nucleotides) under Hordeum vulgare. RNAcentral describes it as "long non-coding RNA (HVUL_LNC002548)". Lineage: Eukaryota; Viridiplantae; Streptophyta; Magnoliopsida; Poales; Poaceae. The record is from RNAcentral.
AAUGAUUCCAUCCGUCUCAUCACCAUCUGACAUGUAUUAGCGGCUGGCGAUCUCUCUCCUCUCGAUGGUGCACCACCUAGGGUUCAAGUUCGAUGCCCAAUAAGAUUACACAUGCUGCUUAUAUAUGCCGCCAAUAACCAUCAGGGUGUCCAUAAGAGUAUUCCAGAGGUGAUGGCUAAUUUUUUUGACAAUCAGCGGCUGGCAAUCUCUAGGGUUCAAGUAUGAUGCCCAAUAAGAUUACGUUUGCUGCUUAUAUAUGCCCCAACUACCACCAGUAUCUCUAUAUGAGUCCAUCUGAGGGAUAAUUUUUCUUUUGACAAUAAGGAGUUCACGGGGGAGACGCAUGCUGGAGGCAGCUAGCGGCAACCAACACGACGGCCUGACAAACUGCUAAGAAACGGAACUCCGGAAGCAAAUUUGUAUGGUGGUCUAUGGACUGCACUCAGUUAUUUUGUCUUUAUUAAGUUUUAAUGUACGUAUGCACUCUGUUUUCUUUUAAUUUCUCCAUCCUUUUUUUGGAAAUUGAAUGUGCAGUGUCAAUCUUAGAGAUUGACUCAUUAUUUUCACUCUUUAGGGUAGACGAUUUUAAAUGGGUCAGUUUUAGUUCUGCCUUCGCCCAU